Molecule: long non-coding RNA, 2430 nt
Organism: Brassica rapa (field mustard)
Lineage: Eukaryota; Viridiplantae; Streptophyta; Magnoliopsida; Brassicales; Brassicaceae
Source: RefSeq, a predicted model, not a curated record
UCCUAAACAAACUCUAUGUCUAGAUGAAUGUUCAUUUACUUAACACAAUUCAAACAUCAAAUGUCUUUGGUUGAAUAAUAUGAAAGCAAUCAUAACUAGCGAGUCCAAUGGCUAUCUUAGCACCUCUAACAACAAAUGUCUUUGGCAAAGUAUGCUAAAAGCUAAGAAGAGUUGUCUCGGGCAUUUCCUCGAACACCUUUCGGGGGGAAAUGCCUAAGGCUCAACUACUGAGUGGCCAACUCAGAAGAUGCAUUAUGCUCACUCAACUAGCAAGGAAAUAUGAAUGAUCUACGCUAAAACAUCCUAGUUCUAACCUAAUCACCCUCAAUCUCCCUAACCCAUGAAUUCAAAAGGUGAUUACUCACUAAUCUCCAUGAUUCCUCUUAAACCUAUGUUGGAUUUCAGAUUAAUCAUGUAGAGAAACUCAGGAAAAAUAGAUAAGAACACAGAAUUCUCAAUAAUAAACUGAUCAAUUGAUUCAAAGAGAUGACUUUCCAAAGGUUUUUGGUGGUUUUUCUAAGAACAAAAAGAUAAUCCCCUCUUGGUGGCUUACAGAGUAUUAAAACAUAGGUUUUCAGAAUAAAAAACGUGCAUAAUAAAAUGACAAAAAGGCCCUUGAGAAAACAUGAAUUCGAGCAGAUAGGCGACGCGCAGCGACCUCGGCAAGUCGCUCCAGCACGUCGCUCUGGGCUUCGGGAGCGACCUCAGGGUGUCGCUGCGAGAGGUCGCUCCGGCUUCAGUUUUGAGCUCUGUUUCGUCAAAAGAGCGAGCGACUUCAGGACGUCGCUCCAACGUGGUCGCUCCGAGAGGUAAGGCACAGCGACUUCAUCGUGUCGCUGCGGUUAGGUCGCUCCGGUGUGUUGCUCGUCCGCUGAUCACUUUAAACACUUCUUUUGAGCUCCAAAUGCACCCAAACGUCUCCAAGAACUCCAUGUGAUACUCCAAUACCUGAUAAGGACUCAUGUAUGCAAAAUGCAACCUAAACAUGACUAAAUCCUAAUCUAUAUGAUCAAAAUGCAUAUGGAUGGAUGGAUAAAACAAUGGAAAUAUGCAUGAUAUCAAGUGCGUUCGUUUGUUCGACAUAUUCAUUGUAAGGCAAAAAACACUAAGAACAAAAUAAUAAGUAUCAGUAGACUAAUAAAAUCGACUUAGUAAUAGUAAUAAGAAUAAUAAAAUCGACAUAUUCAUUGUCAUAAAAAAACUAGAAAGAACAAAAUACUAAGAACCAGUAGACUGAUUCCAUUCAUUUUUAGCUUUUUAAUUUUCCGAAAGCAAUAGAAUGCUUCCUAAACAACCUAUUCCAAGGGAAUUUUUCUGCUUCCUAAUUUCUUCUUCCAUUGUCAUUUUCAUACUCCUUUUCGGAUCUUCAAUCUCUUCUACAAUUUUCCCUUGCUCCGCCUCUACCCUUCAAAUCUCAUCAAGCAAAACUUCAUCAACCCACUUAAAUAAAUGAUUUUCCUUCUUUCGGUACGUAGAAACGAAAAUCAAGUCAGGACAAAUCAAAUGGAAUGAAAAAACAGCAUGUUUGUCCUUCUUAAUCAAAAAUCGAAUCAGAGAAAAAAACAUCAAAGCCAUGAACGAAUCCAUAAACAAAACAAAUAGAAGAUAUGAUCACAGUAAUCAAUUCACCAAACUAAGACAAUUAACAAAUGUAAUUCUAUCAUUCUAAUUCAGUGUCCUAAUGUGAUAAACACGCAAAAGUUAGACAAAAACAUACUGUUAUUUUCAUUUAAUUCUAAGAAACAAAAUGAGGAACAUGCAAAGAGGAACCUGAGGAACACAAACCCAUGGCAACAAAUCAUUUGAGCAACAUGCAAACAUAAAGGUUGUCUAGGAUUGGAACGCACCAUUGGAACCAAAGAACGCAACAUGCAAAGAUAAAGGUUGCAAAGACAUGUUAUUCUUUACGAGAAACUGGAACCAGAGAACCGGAGGAGAGAGGCAGAGACAAGCAGAGAGGUGGAGAGAAGAGGAGAGGUGGAGAGGCGGAGGGAAGCGGAGAGGUGGAUAGAAGUGGAGAGAAGCGGAGAGGUGGAGAGAAGCGGAGAGGCGGAGAAGCUCGAGACCACCAUUGAUUUCACCGGAUAAAAAUAUUUUCAUGCUUUUGAAAUAGUUAAUAUUUAAUUAAAUAAUAUUUUUUAUAUACAAUAUUUAUUUUAAUAAAAUAUAUAUUUAUUACGUAAAAUAAAUUUGAAAACAUUCAUAUACACAUUAAACUAUACACAUGGAUUUAUAUUUAUUUUUAAAAUAUUCAAAAUAUUAUGAUGUAUAAAGAAUCUUUUUAGAUAAUGAUGAUUAUCAAAUUAAUGAACUUUUUUUUCAUUUACGGGUAAUUAUAUAUUAAAAAAUCUAACCUAAUUCUUUACUAAGGGUAAUAAAAACUUUAAACGAUUUAAGUUUUAACGUGAGAACGAAAAAAAUCACAAUGAU